GGUUCUGCAGCCGCAAGGAGAAGAUCCCACAGAAGGAAACGAACAAGCAGUCAGUCACGGAAGGGUAGCGAUUCCAUACCAGCAGAGGGAAGGAGACGAGGUCAGAACGGCGGAUCUCCGCCGCUCGCCGACACGGAGGGAGGACGCCAGAGGGUGCCUGCCUGAGACGAGGUGGAAAGCUCCCUCCCCGCCGCUCGCCGGCACGGAGGGACGAGGACGCCGGUGGGCGUUGGCGUGAGAUGCGAGAGAGGUGGGGGAGCGGUGGCCGGAUCGGGGAGAUCAACGCGGAGGAGGGGGUGCGGCGUGCGGGCCGAGAGCCUGCGUACAAAGGAUGAGGACGGCGGGCUCGAUCGGCCGACUACUCAACUGGGUUGGGCUGAGCCGGAUGUACCAUGGGCCAGGGCCAGGGAUGGAUUGGAAUUUGGAAAUAUCCUCACCGUACAAAUACAAGCACAUUUUCUAAAUAUAAAAACUACAAGCCUCACAAAACUUAUACUUGAUCAAUCAAUUUUAGAAGCACCAUGUGUCAUCGUAAAAUGAAAUAUAAGAAUCGCAAAGAUAAACAACUAUAAUACCGGAUAGUAGACACGAACACUAAUACUCUCUUUGUCUCUAAAAGAAUAGAUUCCUACCGUUCUCUUAAGUCAAUAAUUUUAAACUUUGACUAAAUUUUUAGAAAAUUAAAGUUAAGAUUUAUAUAUCAAAUUAGUAUUAUUAGAUUUAUCAUAGAAUAUUUUUUAUAAGGUACUCAUUUUAUGACAUAGAUGAUGUUAUUCUUUUUAUUAAAGUUAGUCAAACUCUAAAAAAAUGACUGACAUGAAUUAUAGAAAUUGAUUUAUUUGGAGACAGAGGGAGUAUAUUGCGUUCUUCCUAAAAAUAAUAUAAUACGGUGAUAGGCACAAUGUUUGUAACUUCAUACUAACAAUAGUACAUUGCCUUUCAAAAUGGGUGGAAAACGCUAUGUUCCUACAGUAUCUACACACCCUAAAAUUAAAAGCACAACAACACAGAAAAAUGGCUUAUCCUAGGAGCUCUCAAUUUAUAGAGAUAGGGGGAAAAUGACCUCAACCUUAGCACUUGAGCCUUUUGGGUUGGGAUCAUCAAAUUUCCAAUUCUCCCUAUCUCUCGACAUAGUGAUAUGUAUUCCUCCUUAAUCAUUGAUCUCAUCCUUUAUCUUGCUUUGUAUACAAUCUCUCCUUUGUCAUCUGCUAAACAAAAAGGCAUAUACAGAUAGAGUUGUUUGCAACAAAGAUAUUCAUUGUGAGGAGUAUAUUACCACUGAUUCACAUAUGAGACAUGAUAUAUGAUGUUUUGAAUCGAGUUCAAACUCCCCCUUUGUCAUCCAUUUCCAUGAUUUUAUCAUGAUGUUGAUGGAUUGUAUUUUUUGUGUUCAUAUGUAGAUGUAUGGUGUCCCCAUGGAGUGUCCAUGUUAUUGCCUAGUGAUGGCUGAUGAUGUGAUAUGGGAUGUCACCUGAUGAGGCUCUAUCCUGAUCUAGGAUCCUUGUAGCACACGGCAAGUCAACAUGUCUCUGAGUCUUAGACUAGUUUAAAUUGGUAUUAGGUGACAUUGCUAUGGUUUUUGCUAUGUGGUGGCAUGGCCUGCAUGUCAUCUCAUUCGUAUGAUAUCCUUGUGUUCAUCUUUCGUCCAAUAGGAGCAUAUCUAAUAUUGAUGCCUAGGUAUUUUUUAGAACAACUUCAACAAAACAAUAUGUAUAUAUUAGAUACUCCCUCCAUAUACAAAAAGAAGGUCGUUUAGAACAUGAUUUAGCAUACCAAGGAGUGAUUAAUUAUGGUGAAGUUUUUUCUGUUUGCCCCUAAUAAAUACAGAUUCACGUGCAUCCUUUUCGAAAAAGUUUCACAGACCAACUGGCUAGCACCUUGAGGUGGGAAGCUGGCGAGCAACGUUCGACUCCCCUGGACACUUUUCGCUGUGGAGCCUGAGCGCGUAUAUUUACGUUGUUGGCGCCUUUUUUCGGCUGUAGGAGGUUCUGGCGCUUUUUUUUCUUUUUUUUCGGCUGGCGGUGCAGAAGUUUGGGCUACCAAAGGAGUAUUUAUGCGCUUGCAUACUGCUCCCGUCCGUGCAUUUGCUUCUUGCAUGCUGACCUUGCUGCUUUUCUUCUAAUCCUUCCACUCCGCUAAACACAAUGGCAACGGCGGCGUUUGAUCUCAACGAAGAACCUCCGUUGGAGCAUGACAACGGUAUUGCUAUCUGUUCUUUUCUUGUCCAUUUAUUUGCUAUACGGUGCUAUCUCUUUCUCUCAAUCGUUUCUCAUAUCAGAAGGACUAUUGUCACAGGAUUUGAUUUAAACCUGCCGUUAGAUGAAUUUGGUGCAGUCGACUUUGAUUAUCUACAAAACCAUGCUGGUAUGUAGCCGUUAUUUAUUCCAUGUCUGUUUGUUUAUCCAUGAUAUUUCUUCUAUAUUAUUUAAUUUUUUCCAUGUAUUUUGCUAUAUAUAGAACAUGCCUUGAGUAAUAGAAGAUUUAUGUUUGUUUUUUUUUCACUAUAAAUAGAUCCUGCUCCCGUGCAACCAAACCAACGAAGGAAAGACAUGUCCGAAGAAGUCAGAAAGCAAGUUUAUCAAACUUUGUUGUUAAGAAGCAAGAAUGGGAAGCUAGGCAAGUCAGAUACAAAAGUUGUGGCUGCUCAGUUUGGUGUACAUCUUCGUCAAGUUCAGCGCCUGUGGAAGCAAGGUAAAACAGCACUUGCAAAUAACAUUCCGGUUGAUGUUGGUAGUCGUAAGAAGGGAACAGUUGGCCGUAAGCCAUCUAUGUCUACUGCUGAUUUGGAAGUUUUGCGUAGCAUUCCUUACAAAGAAAGAAUGACCAUUGAAGAUGUGUGUGCUAAACUUAACAUGAGCAAAUGGGCUAUUCAAAGGUAUUUGAAAAAAGGAUUUCUUAGGCGCCACUCUAGUAGCAUCAAACCGUAUCUCACGCAAGCUAACAAGAAGGCUAGAUUAAAGUGGUGUGUUGAAAUGGUGAAGAGGGAUUUGCUAGCCGACCCAAGGUUCAAAGAUUUGUAUGGCUUUGUGUUCAUUGAUGAAAAGUGGUUCUAUCUCUAUCAAAAAUCUGAAAAAUAUUAUUUACUACCCGAUGAAGAUGAGCCCCAUCGGACUUGUAAGAACAAGAACUACAUCCCUAGGCUUAUGUUCUUGUGUGUUGUUGCUCGGCCAAGGUUUAGGAAUGGGAAUUGUACAUUUGAUGGUAGGAUUGGUUGUUUUCCACUUGUUCGGUAUGAACCGACUAUGAGAGGUAAUGGGUGAACCGGACGUGUCCGUGGAGACUUGGUUAUGAAGCCCAUAACUUCGAUCACAAGAGAUGUGAUUAGAGAUUUCAUGAUCAACAAAGUGUUACCUGCCAUCCGAGCCAAAUGGCCAAGAGAAGAUGUGAGCAAACCAAUCUUCAUUCAACAAGAUAAUGCACCUACGCAUUUGAAAUUGGAUGACCCGGAUUUUUGUGAGGCCGCUAAGCAAGAAGGAUUUGAUAUUCGCCUAAUUUGUCAACCACCAAAUUCUCCAGAUUUCAACAUCUUGACUUGGGUUUUUUUCGAGCUAUUCAAGCAAUUCAAUACAAGAAGAAUGAAAAAUCAAUAGAAGCUCUAGUCCCAACGGUACAACAGGUAAUUUGAUCAAAUCGUUCACACAUGUUUCAUUGUCUCAUCAACUACAAAAGUGCUCGUUCAUUCAUUUGUUCCACAUUUGUUUUGUAGGCAUUCAUAGAGUACUCGGCACACAAAACUAAUCGAAUAUUUGUAACACUGCAAAGUGUUUACAUUGAAGCUAUGAAGGUGAAAGGAUGCAACAAGUUCAAAAUUCCUCACUGAAAGCCCUAGUUUGGUUUUGGAUAAUUGAUGAAACCCUAGUACUAACCUCUAUGCUAAGUGUGUGUAGACUUAAUGAGGUUGGUACAUGCCAAGUGAUGGAGCAAGUGAUGAUCAUGGUGAUGAUGGUGAUGACCACAAGAUGAUCAAGUGCUCAACUUUGAAAAGAAGAAAGAGAAAAACAAAACCCUAUGGAGAUCAAGGCAAAGGUAUUACUUAGGGUUUUGGCUUUGGUGAUCAAGACACCAUAGAGGGUGUGAUCACAUUUAGGAUAGAUAGUCGUACUAUAAAGAGGGGAAUUCUUUGGCUAAGCGGUUAUCAAGUGCCACUAGGUGUCAUUGUUCAUGUGCAUGCAUUUAGAACCUAGUGAGCUAACUUAACUCCUUCAAAGAAAAUGAUUGUGAAAAUGCUAACACACGUGCACUUGUUGGUACACACGUUGUGGUGUUGGCACACUUUGAGAAGGAGGUGGAGUUUGAAGGGUAAAGAGAGGAUUCGGCGCUUUUCGAGAAAAUGAAGUGCAUAUUUUCUAUUGCGCCGGUGGGAAAAUUGGAGGAGUCGCGGGAGUGUUUCUCGCUAAGAAACACUCACCGGACGCUGGCUUCUGGAGCACCGGACGCUGCGUCUGAGCGUCCGGUGCAGACAGUGCCUGGCCCAGCUAGGGUAAGGCACCGGACGACAGGCACCGGACGCAGGCCUGUGCGUCCGGUGGUUAGCGUCCGGUGUGCGGGCGUUUUGCGACCCUCUCUGCGCAUGGGUCCGGUGAGCACCGGACGCUACCGGUGCUUAGCGUCCGGUGACCCGCAGGUUUGCGGAUCUCUCUGCGCAUGAGUCCGGUGUGCAUUGCUCAGCGUCCGGUGCACUGCAGAUGACCGUUAGAUUCUGACACGAGAGUUUCAAAAGGCGACACGUGGCUGACGUUGGAGCACCGGACGCAGGUGUUGAGCAUCCGGUGCCCCUUUAAGAGCGUCCGGUGACCCCGAGUUUUGCCCAGUAAAAGAGCCAACGGCUCUAUUUGUUUGAGGAGCUAUAUAUACAUGUUUGGCCAGCUUAGGGCUCACUCUCUUGGCAUUCUAACAUACUUGACAUCCUUGUGAGCCUAAGCAAACACCUCUCACUCAUCUCCUUCAUAGAUUAUACAUCUUUGUGAGAUUGGGAGUGAUUCCAAGUGCAUUUGCUUGAGUGAUUGCAUCUAGUGGCACUUGGGGAUCGAUUUGGCUACGGUUUUCUUGUUACUCUUGGUGGUUGCCGCCACCUAGACGGCUUGGAGCAGCGGAGGAGCUUUGGCACGAGUUGGUGAUUGUUCGUGGCCAUCUUCCGGUGAUUGUGAGAGGUCUUGUACCUUCCCCGGCGGAGAGCCAAAAGGUAACUCUAGUAAAGUGCUCGUGUCAUUGAGCUACCUCACUUGUGGGUAGGUUCUUGUGGUGUCCUAGUGUGGACGAGGUUUGUGCUACACCUCUUAGCCACCGAACCACCAAGUGUUGGUCGACACAACGGGGACGUAGCGUGCCGGCAAGCACGUGAACCUCGGGAGAAAAAUUGUGUGUCUCCAUUGUGAUUGUUCAUUGGAUUUCUCCCGGUGAUUGGACUUCAUAUUAUUGAUUGGUUCAUCCCCUCUACGCGGCGGUAUAAAGUUUAAACCUUCUCUUUUACAUUCCCGCAAACUAGAGUAGCUUACUUACUUGUAUAGAAACUUUAGGUAGCUUUCUAGUGUAAGUAGUAACAUAGCUCUUGUGUGCCUAGUGAUUAUAUCAACUAGAAUUGUUGGAUAGGUGGCUUGCAAACACCCCAUUAGAGCUAGAGCAAAAAGCUUCGCUUUGUUAUUUACUAACCUCUUGCUCUAGUGUUUUUGUAGAAUUUUUAAGUAGGCUAUUCACCCCCCCCUCUAGCCAUAUUAGGACCUUUCACUCACAUGGGUAAAAAUACACUAGAAAGAGAAGACCGACUGCCAGAUUCUCUCCCUUGUGAACCAUCUUCGCUUCAUGAAGCCAAAGCUACUCUUGCUGCACCAAAUAAUUAGAGUAAUGCUAGUUAGCUUAAUUAGUAGAGAUAUCCUUGUAAAAGUUAAUGAGAACUCAAGCUUUUUAUCUUACUGUUGGUUUGGCGUCGUCCUCUUUCGCGAUGGCUGCGGCUUUGGCGUCGUCCUCCUUCACGGCUGCUGCAGCUUUGGCGUCGGCCUUCGCAGUUGCUAGCUCGUUGAGCAUGUUGAUCACGUGUUCAGGUAACACGAUAGAAUUUCCACGCACCACGAGAUUGUUCAGAUCGGGAAUGAAAAGCUCGCAGUCGAACUCGUCUUGGUCGUACAGCCAGGCACCGAUUCUAUACUCUCUGUGGACGAGACCGCAGCGAGAACAUGGCCAAAACAGCGAGUGCGCACGAUCCCAUGAUUCGCGGUUCUCAUGAACGCGAUGACAGCGAGGGCAUAGAAAAGCUCCCGGCGGCAAGGUUUCCGGCACCAUCUCAGAGUCCGUCGCGACGAAGUCCGGCACCAUCUCCGAGUCCAGCACGAUGGAGUCCGGCACCUCUUGCGAUGUGAUGGAGUCUGGCACAGACUCGAACAGUGAAUCUGGGGCGAUCUCCCUGGCCGGCGAGCGGCGCGGCGAGCAUGAGCACGAGCGGCUCGAGCGAGAUGAAGCCAUGCACGCGACGGACCGGCGAGCGCGAGUGGCGGCGCGGCGAGCACGCCGGCGAGCACGCUAGGUUGGAGCCUGGCGAGUUAGCGGCGAGUACUAUCGAUCGAGAGCGAGGACUGUCGAGUGGAGCUGUGAUGCGAGCAGCGCUUCGAGUCCUUUUAACAAAGCGAACAGGCAACGACUGGGCAAGUGGGCGGCGUAGAUGACAAUCGAGGCGAGUAAUUAACUGGCAUGCGAUAAUCGAAGAGGCCGGGGCAAAGAAGUCCAAAUCACCAGCUAUGGCUCCACGACGUCGUUUUUUCCGCAAACUGCCGAAGUGGCUAGUAAGUAUACAUUAUAUGUUAGGUGUGCUUUGUUUUAUUCAUUUUUUGUCAUUCACUUAUCAAAACCCAUAGCACACCACACUCCAUCAGGCCUCAUGCAUUUAAGUUGUCAUUCACCCAUCGCCUAAUAGAAACUCAAGGCUUCAUGUACAUCCAUAGCUCCUCCUUCGCCCUUGGUCCUCUCCUCUUUCGAAUCUCAAUUCCCAACAAGGGCAUAGCCACAUAAAACUUAGACGCCACCACACCAGAUGGCAGGCAUGCAACCGAUAGUCAAAAAAAUCAUGGCUCAAGAGGAUUUGUCAUGUCCUACACAAGGGUGCCCAUGCGCUAGGUGAGGCUGGGCCGCUAGGGUGCACCAACCACAAUGCAUCUCAUUGCUCGAUUCUACUCGGUGCCUCACCUGUCCCAUUAGACAUCAUGUUUGACGUUCGAGCACCACUUUGCCCGUGAAGACAUAACCUAUUAUAUGACUCACCUGUCAUGACUCAACAUAACCUGUCAUAGGACUCUAUGAGGUCAGAACGGCGGAUCUCCGCCGCUCGCCGACACGGAGGGAGGACGCCAGAGGGUGCCUUCCUGAGACGAGGUGGAAAGCUCCCUCCCCGCCGCUCGCCGGCACGAAGGGACGAGGACGCCGGUGGGCGUUGGCGUGAGAUGCGAGAGAGGUGGGGGAGCGGUGGCCGGAUCGGGGAGAUCAACGCGGGGGAGGGGGUGCGGCGUGCGGGCCGAGAGCGGAGAGCCUACGUACAAAGGAUGAGGACGGCGGGCUCGAUCGGCCGACUACUCAACUGGGUUGGGC
RNAcentral lists this long non-coding RNA (7572 nucleotides) under Sorghum bicolor (sorghum). RNAcentral describes it as "long non-coding RNA (SBIC_LNC002079)". The record is from RNAcentral. Lineage: Eukaryota; Viridiplantae; Streptophyta; Magnoliopsida; Poales; Poaceae.